CAGCCGCCGCGGUAAUACGUAGGUGGCAAGCGUUGUCCGGAAUUAUUGGGCGUAAAGCGCGCGCAGGUGGUUUAAUAAGUCUGAUGUGAAAGCCCACGGCUCAACCGUGGAGGGUCAUUGGAAACUGUUAAACUUGAGUGCAGGAGAGAAAAGUGGAAUUCCUAGUGUAGCGGUGAAAUGCGUAGAGAUUAGGAGGAACACCAGUGGCGAAGGCGGCUUUUUGGCCUGUAACUGACACUGAGGCGCGAAAGCGUGGGGAGCGAACAGGAUUAGAUACCCCCGUAGUCCCUGUCUCUUAUAA
RNAcentral lists this ribosomal RNA (301 nucleotides) under uncultured bacterium. RNAcentral describes it as "partial 16S ribosomal RNA". It matches the Rfam family "Bacterial small subunit ribosomal RNA", at positions 509 to 809 of the family's 1533-position model. The record is from RNAcentral.